This 497-nucleotide ribosomal RNA is filed under the name uncultured bacterium. RNAcentral's name for it is "partial 16S ribosomal RNA". It matches the Rfam family "Bacterial small subunit ribosomal RNA", at positions 28 to 507 of the family's 1533-position model. The record is from RNAcentral.
GAUGAACGCUGGCGGCGUGCCUAAUACAUGCAAGUCGAGCGAACAGACGAGGAGCUUGCUCCUCUGACGUUAGCGGCGGACGGGUGAGUAACACGUGGAUAACCUACCUAUAAGACUGGGAUAACUUCGGGAAACCGGAGCUAAUACCGGAUAAUAUAUUGAACCGCAUGGUUCAAUAGUGAAAGACGGUUUUGCUGUCACUUAUAGAUGGAUCCGCGCCGCAUUAGCUAGUUGGUAAGGUAACGGUUUACCAAGGCAACGAUGCGUAGCCGUCCUGAGAGGGUGAUCGGCCACACUGGCACUGAGACACGGUCCAGACCCCUACGGGAGGCAGCAGUAGGGAAUCUUCCGCAAUGGGCGAAAGCCUGACGGAGCAACGCCGCGUGAGUGAUGAAGGUCUUCGGAUCGUAAAACUCUGUUAUUAGGGAAGAACAAAUGUGUAAGUAACUAUGCACGUCUUGACGGUACCUAAUCAGAAAGCCACGGCUAACUACGUG